Hydra vulgaris (swiftwater hydra) is the source of this 289-nucleotide long non-coding RNA. RefSeq lists it as uncharacterized. The record is from RefSeq and is a predicted model, not a curated record. Lineage: Eukaryota; Metazoa; Cnidaria; Hydrozoa; Anthoathecata; Hydridae.
UGCAGGAUAUAUGAUUGCUUAUGGAAUCAAUUAGAGUUAAUUGGAAAUGAGCAAGUUGUGCUGAUGUAGGAGUCACUGCAUACUCUAUAUGUAGAUACAUUCAUACGUAAAGAAAAAGAGAUAAAAGUAUAUGGUUGGCUAUAAUAUGGAAAGUUUAAAAAGUUAAAAUCCACAAAGCAUAAAGUAUAAAUAUGGAAUCUGGAAGCACUGAAAAAGCAUUGUAUUGAAUCUGGAUACUAUGUAGAGAGAAAAAUAAACACAAGAUACGAUCAUAAUGUUAAUAGACUAC